UAAUGUUGUGUCAAGCUGCAGUGAGUUUAGAUCAACUUACAGAUUUGGGACAAAAUGUGACUAUAAACUGUGAUCUGGACUCAAAUGAUGUUUAUUGGAUUUUACUGAAACAAUCAGAUUCUCAUACAGUGAUACUGCGCUCAUUCUCAAACCCAACAUCUGCUUUUUACUUAAAUAAAACAUUUAAAAACAAAUAUUCAGUACAAUCUAAACACCGUCUGGUGAUAUAUAAUAUUACUGUAGAUGAGUUAGGAGUUUAUUACUGUAUGAACACAGAUACACCUCCAAAACUCAGUAACAGCACAAGACUGAACAUCAUUGAAACAACUCAACAAAGUGAGUUUAGCACAACUCACAACUGCACAAAUAACACCGCUGUAGAGCCAAUUACAAACAAGACAUGGAUAACUUUCACUGUCAUAUCUGGUGUGCUGAAUGGUGUUCUGAUCAUUACAAUCAUAGGACUGUUAAAGGUUUAUGUUGUUGAUAAUGGAUGCUGGAAGAAAUCUAGAAAGAGUUCAGGACAACUUCAUAACAAUAAUCUACAGCAGACACAAGUUCUUGAACAGCAUCAAGACCCAGAUCAACUACAGUAUGUCGCUGUGGAUUUUUCUAAACUGCGUAAAAAUAAUCGUCCCAGUCAAGAAAACAGCACAUAUGCUGCUUUAAACCUGCCAAGAUCAAAAGUAAUAUAAAUGAUCUCAUAUUCAUCUUGUACAGUACAGGAUUAUUAAAUGGUCCAUUUAAUAUUUAAAACGGAUUAAAACCAUUAAACUUUUAUACACUCAAAAAAAAUAUUUUUGCACCUUGUUUAAUUUACUUAAAUGAAACAAGUUAAUACAACACAAUUUUUUAUUUUUUUGUCUCAACCUAUUUUUAUAAUGUUCAAUCUGCUUAAAUUUAAAAAAAUUACAUGAACUCAAUAAUUUUAUAUUGGGACCACAUUAAUGAUUUUUGUUGCUAUUACUUACUGGGCCGUGAAUCUGUAUUUCCCAGCAUGCUUUGCAU
Molecule: long non-coding RNA, 1008 nt
Organism: Paramisgurnus dabryanus
Lineage: Eukaryota; Metazoa; Chordata; Actinopteri; Cypriniformes; Cobitidae
Source: RefSeq, a predicted model, not a curated record